Long non-coding RNA from Equus caballus (horse), 1705 nucleotides. The record is from Ensembl. NCBI's taxonomy places the organism in Eukaryota, Metazoa, Chordata, Mammalia, Perissodactyla, Equidae.
CUUUCUUCCCGAAGGAAGGAAGGGCACCAAAGAAGUGGGGUGCACAGAAUGGUUAUAUACCCCCAGAGAGGAUGUUUCACAUAGGAUUGAAAUGUCCCUUUUACAAUAGUCGCGAGACUGCUCUGUCGGCACAGUGAUUGAUGGACACAGCAGGUAGCUCUGCUGUCUCAGUGGACACAGCAGGGUGGCAGGUCUGUUGUCUCGAGCUGGGUGGUCACGGGUGAGCAGAGCAAUCAGUUCCUGGCCUAAGGAAAGAUGCUUAUCCUUAAGGAAAUGCCAAUGUGAGGGGGAUGUUGCACCUUUAUCUUAAGGGCAUUUGUUCUUGCCAUAGGAAGUGUUUAAAGCAGAUAUACAAUGCAUGCUCAAUGGCCAUGUCAGGCCCUUUUGGAAAAACAAAGUCAGGCUGAAUUAAGUUUACACCAAAUGGCUUCAUCAUAUACUCCUAUUGCUUGCCAUUUCUAUUUGUCAUUAGAAGAAGAAAUUUAGUGUCAAUUUGGAGAUUUUUUGUUCCAUCAGCCAAUACAGUGAAUUCCCCAUUUCAUAAGUGUAAAUAUGGUUCUGAAUUUGAAGCAUUAAGAUAGGAAAAAUAACAUCAUUAAAAUUUAGGUCACCCAUUCUACAUUAAGUCUUUCAGUCCAAAUUUCUACAUUCCUUGAAUUUCACGUGAAUUCUAAUGUUCACUCUUUUCAUUUCUUUAUCUUCCAACUUUCUCUAAAGGUUCAUUCAAUGUAAUAGAUGGGAUUAUGAAUGAUUAUAUAUGCAUGUACAUAUAUGUGAAAUAAUGUGGUUCUUUGAAACAAAAAUGUACACAAAUACACACAUAUACACACCUAUUUUUGGUCUGGUAACAUAUGAUUUAAUAUUUUGCCUCAUCAUACUUAAGAUGAACUCUGACUCUAAAGCGAUAUUGUGUAAAUCUACUUAUUGCUAUUCAUGUUUGUCUAUCCAAGUAGCUUGCACUUGGAGACCUGUAUUUCAUUGUCAAGUUUUGCUAGUGACUACGGUAGGCAUGAUAGACAGUGAUGUGAAUAACAAAAAAGGAUCCUAAUGAGUAUUAAAAAUGCACGGUCAUUUUAAUAAGCAGGAUGUUAAGUCUGCACUAUGAAGAAGAUCAGUUAAUGUAGUGAUAUGCAAAGGAAUGAUGUUCACAAAAGUGAAAAACAGUUGUCAAAGAUUUUCCUCCUUUUAAACUUAUAUAAAUACCUGUUGUUGCCAAGAGUAGUUUUCUCCAUAGGAAUAGCAAAACCCAUCUUAGUUAAACAAAAGAAACAAUACUCAGUAUGAUAUAUUUUAUUUCAGAAGAAAUUUCUUUUAAGUGAUUCAUGUAGUCCCUUGAAAUAAAUGGAAAUUUCCAAAUAUUUCACACUCAAUGUUAGGAAUAACACUGGGAGAGUAGGAAAAUGAUGAAAGGAAAAACUCCUGGAUAUCAGGGAGGUCACGAAUCUUAAUAAUAUAGUUAAAUAUCUUGUACAGAGAUGUUGAAAUCAAAGAAAUAAAAAUUCCAGGAAAAAAUGAAAGUGGUGUGUUCUACUUCCACAAUGAGCUAGGAAUCACAGUUUCUGGCUCUGAGCUUUGAACCCUGCAAUCACAGGCACUUCUUACACACUAGGGCAAUUGGUCCUCAUAUACCUCCUAUCCCAAAGAAUGUUUUCUGAGCCCUCUUUAUGUCUUUGUCUGUCAUUUCAUAGGAUGAAAGAACACUCUA